GUGGAUGUAGCUCAGUUGGUAGAGCCCCGGAUUGUGGAUCCGGUGGUCGUGGGUUCAAGCCCCAUCAUCCACCCCA
This 76-nucleotide transfer RNA is filed under the name Gammaproteobacteria bacterium. RNAcentral describes it as "tRNA-His". It matches the Rfam family "tRNA". From Rfam's summary of the family: Transfer RNA (tRNA) molecules are approximately 80 nucleotides in length. Their secondary structure includes four short double-helical elements and three loops (D, anti-codon, and T loops). The record is from RNAcentral. Lineage: Bacteria; Pseudomonadati; Pseudomonadota; Gammaproteobacteria.